Lycium ferocissimum is the source of this 805-nucleotide long non-coding RNA. RefSeq lists it as uncharacterized. The record is from RefSeq and is a predicted model, not a curated record. The transcript is spliced from 3 exons. Lineage: Eukaryota; Viridiplantae; Streptophyta; Magnoliopsida; Solanales; Solanaceae.
AGUAUACUCACCUUCUUCUCCAAAAAUCUAUCAGCAAAUCAAGAAGCUUUUAGUAGAAAAAUAUAGUGAUCAUCUAGCUCAGACCGUUGCUGCAAUUUUGAGGUAUUUGUUUUUGAAGUUUUCUUCGUGAAAAAGAAUGAUAAAACAUAUUGAGUGUUGAUUUUGACUUCGAUACUAUUUUGAUAAUGGAUAUUCGAGAUUCUUUGUCUUUUAAGUGUUACUCUGAAGAUCAUCUCAAUUUGGUUCACAAAAAAGUUUAGUUAUAAAAUGGACUUUACUCCUUACUGUGAGGUAUUUCAAGAAGUUGAAAAAGGAAGUCAAGAAAGGCCAAGAGUUGGAAUGAAGGAUCAAAUGAAGAUCCAUGAGCGCAUAACAAUUUUCUACUUAAAGGCCACCCUGGUACGACUUGCAUAACAGAGAAUGAGAGAAAUGGAGAAAUAAACAAAACAGAAAUAGAGAAUUCAGCCAUUUUCACAGGAAACAACCCAUGAUAAUAGGUUUGGAUCAACCCGCAACAAAUCUCCUCAUAUACCCUCCUUUUCUCCUGAGAGAUGUCUCAUCAAUAAAUUGUUAUAGUUUGAUUUGGAGAUGCUUGCUUCCCCAAAAUAGUGUCUGGGAGGGAGCAAAGGUUUACUAUACUCGAAUGUACGUGUUAUAAAAUUCUUUCUUUUGUUUUGAAUUAUGUUAAAAUUUCUAUUUAGAUAUGGAAUUAUGCAUCACUGAUGCAUUAGUAAACCCAUAGGUAUUCUCUUUUUCAGGAUUUAUUGUUAUUUACAGUUUUUGAAAUUAUGGUUAUUUUCAAGUA